RNAcentral lists this ribosomal RNA (462 nucleotides) under uncultured bacterium. Its description in RNAcentral is "SSU rRNA". It matches the Rfam family "Bacterial small subunit ribosomal RNA", at positions 26 to 518 of the family's 1533-position model. The record is from RNAcentral.
AGAAUCAACGCUGGCGGCGUGCCUAACGACAUGCAAGUCGAACGAGAAAGUGGAGCAAUCCAUUAGUAAAGUGGCGCACGGGUGAGUAACACGUGACUAACCUACCCUUGAGUGGGGGGAUAACCUAGAGAAAUCUGGGCUAAUACCGCAUAAUACCUUCGGGUCAAAGGAGCAAUUCGCUUAAGGAGGGGGUCGCGGCCGAUUAGUUAGUUGGCGGGGUAAUGGCCCACCAAGACUAUGAUCGGUAUCCGGCCUGAGAGGGCGCACGGACACACUGGAACUGAAACACGGUCCAGACUCCUACGGGAGGCAGCAGUGGGGAAUUUGCGCAAUGGGGGAAACCCUGACGCAGCAACGCCGCGUGGAGGAUGAAGCCCCUUGGGGCGUAAACUCCUUUCGAUCGGGACGAUAAUGACGGUACCGAGAGAAGAAGCCCCGGCUAACUUCGACGCCAGCAGCCGC